RNAcentral lists this ribosomal RNA (513 nucleotides) under uncultured bacterium. RNAcentral's name for it is "partial 16S ribosomal RNA". It matches the Rfam family "Bacterial small subunit ribosomal RNA", at positions 28 to 523 of the family's 1533-position model. The record is from RNAcentral.
GAUGAACGCUGGCGGCGUGCCUAAUACAUGCAAGUCGAGCGAACAGACGAGGAGCUUGCUCCUCUGACGUUAGCGGCGGACGGGUGAGUAACACGUGGAUAACCUACCUAUAAGACUGGGAUAACUUCGGGAAACCGGAGCUAAUACCGGAUAAUAUAUUGAACCGCAUGGUUCAAUAGUGAAAGACGGUUUUGCUGUCACUUAUAGAUGGAUCAGGGCCGCAUUAGCUAGUUGGUAAGGUAACGGCUUACAAAGGCAACGAUGCGUAGCCGACCUGAGAGGGUGAUCGGCCACACUGGAACUGAGACACGGUCCAGACUCCUACGGGAGGCAGCAGUAGGGAAUCUUCCGCAAUGGGCGAAAGCCUGACGGAGCAACGCCGCGUGAGUGAUGAAGGUCUUCGGAUCGUAAAACUCUGUUAUUAGGGAAGAACAAAUGUGUAAGUAACUAUGCACGUCUUGACGGUACCUAAUCAGAAAGCCACGGCUAACUACGUGCCAGCCGCCGCAGUAA